This 484-nucleotide ribosomal RNA is filed under the name uncultured bacterium. RNAcentral's name for it is "partial 16S ribosomal RNA". It matches the Rfam family "Bacterial small subunit ribosomal RNA", at positions 30 to 507 of the family's 1533-position model. The record is from RNAcentral.
AUUGAACGCUGGCGGCAUGCCUAACACAUGCAAGUCGAGCGGAUGAAGGGAGCUUUCUCCUGGAUUCAGCGGCGGACGGGUGGGUAAUGCCUACGAAUCUGCCUUGUAGUGGGGGAUAACGUCCCUUAACGGGCGCUAAUACCGCAUCCGUCCUGAGGUUGAACGUGGGGGUUCUUCGGACCUCACGCUUUCAGAUGAGCCUAGGUCGGAUUAGCUAGUUGGUGGGGUAAAGGCCUACCAAGGCGACGAUCCGUAACUGCCCUGAGAGGGUGAUCGGUCACACUGGAACUGAGACACGGUCCAGACUCCUACGGGAGGCAGCAGUGGGGAAUAUUGGGCAAUGGGCGAAAGCUUGAUCCAGCAAUGCCGCGUGAGUGAUGAAGGUCUUCGGAUGGUAAAGCACUGUAAGUUGGGAGGAAGGGAAGUAAAUGAAUACAUGGACGUUUUGACGGUACCAAAAGAGAAAGCAACGGCUAACUACGUG